Molecule: ribosomal RNA, 1959 nt
Filed under: human metagenome
Description: bacterial LSU rRNA
Rfam family: Bacterial large subunit ribosomal RNA
Source: RNAcentral
UCAAGUGAAUAAGUGCAUCAGGUGGAUGCCUUGGCGAUGAUAGGCGACGAAGGACGUGUAAGCCUGCGAAAAGCGUGGGGGAGCUGGCAAUAAAGCUAUGAUCCCGCGAUGUCCGAAUGGGGAAACCCACUGCAUUCUGUGCAGUAUCCUAAGUUGAAUACAUAGACUUAGAGAAGCGAACCCGGAGAACUGAACCAUCUAAGUACCCGGAGGAAAAGAAAUCAACCGAGAUUCCGCAAGUAGUGGCGAGCGAACGCGGAGGAGCCUGUACGUGAUAACUGUUGAGAUAGAAGAACAAGCUGGGAAGCUUGACCAUAGUGGGUGAUAGUCCCGUAUUCGAAAUCUCAACAGUGGUACUAAGCGUACGAAAAGUAGGGCGGGACACGUGAAAUCCUGUCUGAAUAUGGGGGGACCAUCCUCCAAGGCUAAAUACUCAUCAUCGACCGAUAGUGAACCAGUACCGUGAGGGAAAGGCGAAAAGAACCCCGGGAGGGGAGUGAAAUAGAACCUGAAACCUGAUGCAUACAAACAGUGGGAGCACCCUUGUGGUGUGACUGCGUACCUUUUGUAUAAUGGGUCAACGACUUACAUUCAGUAGCGAGCUUAACCGAAUAGGGGAGGCGUAGGGAAACCGAGUCUUAAUAGGGCGAACAGUUGCUGGGUGUAGACCCGAAACCGAGUGAUCUAUCCAUGGCCAGGUUGAAGGUGCCGUAACAGGUACUGGAGGACCGAACCCACGCAUGUUGCAAAAUGCGGGGAUGAGCUGUGGAUAGGGGUGAAAGGCUAAACAAACUCGGAGAUAGCUGGUUCUCCCCGAAAACUAUUUAGGUAGUGCCUCGAGCAAGACACUGAUGGGGGUAAAGCACUGUUAUGGCUAGGGGGUUAUUGCAACUUACCAACCCAUGGCAAACUAAGAAUACCAUCAAGUGGUUCCUCGGGAGACAGACAGCGGGUGCUAACGUCCGUUGUCAAGAGGGAAACAACCCAGACCGCCAGCUAAGGUCCCAAAUGAUAGAUUAAGUGGUAAACGAAGUGGGAAGGCCCAGACAGCCAGGAUGUUGGCUUAGAAGCAGCCAUCAUUUAAAGAAAGCGUAAUAGCUCACUGGUCGAGUCGUCCUGCGCGGAAGAUGUAACGGGGCUCAAAUCUAUAACCGAAGCUGCGGAUGCUAGUUUACUAGCAUGGUAGGGGAGCGUUCUGUAGGCCGAUGAAGGUGCAUUGUAAAGUGUGCUGGAGGUAUCAGAAGUGCGAAUGUUGACAUGAGUAGCGAUAAAGCGGGUGAAAAGCCCGCUCGCCGAAAGCCCAAGGUUUCCUACGCAACGUUCAUCGGCGUAGGGUGAGUCGGCCCCUAAGGCGAGGCAGAAAUGCGUAGUCGAUGGGAAACAGGUUAAUAUUCCUGUACUUGAUUCAAAUGCGAUGUGGGGACGGAGAAGGUUAGGUUAGCAAGCUGUUGGAAUAGCUUGUUUAAGCCGGUAGGUGGAAGACUUAGGCAAAUCCGGGUCUUCUUAACACCGAGAAGUGACGACGAGUGUCUACGGACAUGAAGUAACCGAUACCACGCUUCCAGGAAAAGCCACUAAGCUUCAGUUUGAAUUGAACCGUACCGCAAACCGACACAGGUGGGCAGGAUGAGAAUUCUAAGGCGCUUGAGAGAACUCGGGAGAAGGAACUCGGCAAAUUGAUACCGUAACUUCGGGAGAAGGUAUGCCCUCUAAGGUUAAGGACUUGCUCCGUAAGCCCUGGAGGGUCGCAGAGAAUAGGUGGCUGCGACUGUUUAUUAAAAACACAGCACUCUGCUAACACGAAAGUGGACGUAUAGGGUGUGACGCCUGCCCGGUGCUGGAAGGUUAAUUGAAGAUGUGAGAGCAUCGGAUCGAAGCCCCAGUAAACGGCGGCCGUAACUAUAACGGUCCUAAGGUAGCGAAAUUCCUUGUCGGGUAAGUUCCGACCCGCACGAAAGG